CUUCUCCUUGGCCCCACAGCCUCAAGAUUUGCAUGUUAAAUCCUAGGUCAUUAGUUUCUCAUCAGUAGACUUUGUAAGGCUAGAAAUGUUAGCCUUUGGUUUUCAGUUUUCAUUUGAGAGGGAAAAAAAAUCAGAACUUCCUCUUAUGCAAGGAGUGUCAUGCCGAGCUGAGCAGAGCAACAUUUCUAAUGAGAGGAUAAGGGCUAAAAAUUCUCCUGCAGCCUUCCUGGAGACAGAAUGCAGCCAAGCUGGAGCACGGAGCUGGGUGCCCCUUCCUCCCCAGGCGGAUGCUAAUGGACGCACAAGGAGGAAGGCACAGAGUCUCGAUGCUGGUAUAUAGAUGGGGGAUGUGGGUGAAGGAGACUUAAUGAAAGGAACGCCUUGAUCUGCUCUGUGCUCACACUGAAAACUAUGACUUUUUGGUAGAAAGAUUUGCAUAGUGUUGGUAAUUGUCGAUGAGGUAUUUUCAGGAAAAUCUAACGUAUUGUGAAAAUGUUUGCAGAGUGUUUCCUUCAAACUGCCUGGGUACAGCUUCUAGAGUCCUGGAGUAGAAGGGAAGUGGGCAGGACUCCUGAGCAAAGAGAUCAUGGUCCUUCUGGUCACCCACUCUCUGGCUCAUGCCUGAACACGAUGCUAAAUGAGCAUGGUGCCCCCUGUGCAGUAAAACUUCAUUUUUACAUAACAUUUAAAAUAAUGAAAUAUUCAAAUAGGAAAAAUGGCUGACUGGUUCUUAGGAGAUGUUUACACUUAUUGGUGCUUGUGUAGCUGACUAUUGUAAAAUGGAUAAAAGAAGGGAAACGGACAUUUUCUCUCAUUGCUCACCAGUAUUUCUUCUUUUACUAAGUUUAUAAAAACAAUAUUACCUCUGUUUUCCCAAAAGUCUAUUUUGUACUUAUCUUACUACAUUGUGGUUGAAUGAUCUAUAUUAAUAAAGCAUAUUGUAAAUUUUACAAUGAUAUCAGCAUAAUAGCUAGGCUUAAAUACUAUUAAAAGCAGAAUAAGAAAGGAUUUUGCUAAAAUUAAUGGACUGAAUCUAAUUUACAUUUCUAUUACCAAGGCUAAUUGUAAGAGCUCCCACCUUGAUUAGAAUCUUUAGUAAACAAAAAUAUGCUCAGAUUUUAUGAGUGUUUGAAUUUCUGAUGUAUUACAGGAAAUUAGACUUGACCAAGCCAUUCGUCUGUUCAAAUCAAGCGUGGAAAAUUGAACUUUAUUGAACAGGUACAAAUUAAAGAAUAUGGUCCUAGGUGUGCACACAUAAAUGAUAUUUUAAUUACAGAUACUGGAUUUAAAUAUCAUUCACACUAAAAUGCAUUAAAACUGGUCAAGAUCUCUCAGUAAUCUACAAAUGAAACACACAUUUACACUGCUGUUUUUGUUUUUUACCUGGAAGACAGGCUCUCAAGACUUCUGCAACACACACCAGUCUCCUGGAGAACUUGUCCGAAUAUGGCUGCUAGGCCCCAUUCCUAGACUUUCUGCUGCAGUGGAUACAGGUGGAGGCCAGAGCUGGAAACUACCGACUACCCCACUGACAACGAUGCUGUUGGCAGUCACGGUGCAUUUGGAAUCACUGUCUAUCAGUCCACUUGACUGAACUUGGAGGAGUAGUCGUCGCAUAUUCAACCAAACAGCAGUGGAUGGUAGACAAGAGAAUCCAGAAUCAUCUACCUCUUGUGGCUGGACAGUCAGCAACUAAAAAACCCUAUCUUCAUCCCUGAUAUUCAGCUUUUCCAAAAUCUUUGAAAUGGAAUUUUGACCGGUUUUCCUUUCUAUUAUCUCCAGAAGAUUCAUAGCUAACUAAUAACUUCUGUGUCUGGAAUAUAUAGAACCACUGCCUAACACACUCUGUAACUAAAGAGAACAGAUACAUGUAAUUUCUUAUGGGAACUGGAUCAGCUAAUUAUGGAAUCCAAGAAGAACAGAAACGUUGUAUGUACAAGCUGGAGAACCAGAAGUCUGAGGCCCAGGAACAGUACUUGAUGUAGAGGUGGUACUCUUAGUCUUCAGAACCAGAGUCAGGAACUUUUUAUGUCUAAGGGCAGCAGAAAAUAGAUGUUCCAGCUCAAAGAGGUGGGGGUGGGGAAUGAAUUUGCU
This is a long non-coding RNA of Peromyscus californicus insignis, 2094 nucleotides long. RefSeq lists it as uncharacterized. Lineage: Eukaryota; Metazoa; Chordata; Mammalia; Rodentia; Cricetidae. The transcript has 3 exons. The record is from RefSeq and is a predicted model, not a curated record.